RNAcentral lists this ribosomal RNA (321 nucleotides) under Streptomyces coelicoflavus. RNAcentral describes it as "bacterial SSU rRNA". It matches the Rfam family "Bacterial small subunit ribosomal RNA", at positions 1 to 321 of the family's 1533-position model. Lineage: Bacteria; Bacillati; Actinomycetota; Actinomycetes; Kitasatosporales; Streptomycetaceae. The record is from RNAcentral.
CAUUCACGGAGAGUUUGAUCCUGGCUCAGGACGAACGCUGGCGGCGUGCUUAACACAUGCAAGUCGAACGAUGAACCACCUUCGGGUGGGGAUUAGUGGCGAACGGGUGAGUAACACGUGGGCAAUCUGCCCUUCACUCUGGGACAAGCCCUGGAAACGGGGUCUAAUACCGGAUACUGACCUGCCAAGGCAUCUUGGCGGGUCGAAAGCUCCGGCGGUGAAGGAUGAGCCCGCGGCCUAUCAGCUUGUUGGUGAGGUAAUGGCUCACCAAGGCGACGACGGGUAGCCGGCCUGAGAGGGCGACCGGCCACACUGGGACUG